CGACGUGUAGCUCAGUCAGCAGAGCACCGGGCUUUCGACCCGGAGGGCGCGGGGGCAGGGCCCGCUACGUCGA
RNAcentral lists this transfer RNA (73 nucleotides) under Streptomyces sp. SID5474. RNAcentral describes it as "tRNA-Glu". It matches the Rfam family "tRNA". From Rfam's summary of the family: Transfer RNA (tRNA) molecules are approximately 80 nucleotides in length. The record is from RNAcentral. Lineage: Bacteria; Bacillati; Actinomycetota; Actinomycetes; Kitasatosporales; Streptomycetaceae.